AAAAUACAGUCUCCUGAAAAGGAAUGUUUCUUUUUUUGCUGAGUAUACUAGUAUAAAGAAUUUCAAAAGAGCAGGAUUUAUGACUAGGUUAUUGUGUGACUCCUAGAUUAUCAUUAUAAAUGAGUGUACCACCUCCUCCUCUGCCAGUUAGAUGAGGCUGAUGUAUAUGAACAGACAGUCUCAAUAUUGUGGAACCGAGGUGACGACUCAGUGCAGAUAGCGGACGGUCAGUUUAGCCAGCUUGUCUGCUCCCUGGCCUUGGCUCUGGGUUGUCACUGAUUAACUAGGCUUGUUCUGAGUCUAUGUGCUAUGCUGCAGGAAAUGAGAGCAGCACCUUCCCAGGUGGGAUGGAUACAGUCCCGCCCUAACAGGCCAGCCUUGCCCUCAAAACUACUCCAAUUAUCUAGCAGUUCAGCGAACAUAACCUGCUGUAAGCUAUAUUGGGAUGGGGCCAGAGCAUAUUGCUACAAUGGACCUGCAUAUAGACCUUGGGUAAGCUUAAGGUGAUCUCAACACACAGAGAGAGAAGGGAGUCUGAUGUGUUAUGUGUGAUGUGAUGAAGAUGCUAAUUCUGUGGGAGAGAGUUCAAAUGUUAAUUUCUGUAAGAAUCCUUUGUUUUCUCAGAGAGCAGUUCUCUCCAGGUUCAGACAUCUUGGCCCCAGCCUUACAAUAGCCUAACAAUUGCACUUACUGAAAACAAUUAAUGCCCAAGCCUCAUCCAUUCUUCAGUGGAUAACAUCAUUGGGAUAUUAUAGAUUUAAAGUUAAAAACACUUCUGAAGUCAUAAAAGACCCUGAUGCUUGUAAUGAAGAUCCUUUCAACACACUCAGUACUGUUUGACUUUACAGCAUACAGUUGGGGAAGAGUAAUGACUCAUAAUCACACUAUCUGGUGUCAGAUGGGGAUGGGUUCGCUUCUGAGUCUGGUUCCUCCCAAAGUUUCUUCCUCAUGCCGCCUUAGGGAGUGUUGGUCCAAUGGCUUAGCUAAAAUGAACUCAGCCAUGCAUUUGACUAUUUCUAUGAGUCAGAGCUACUGCUAACAGUUGUUCUUAUCCAAUAAUAGAAAGUAAACAUCUCCUUGGCUGUGUUUUUAACUUGAAUCACAUCAGUUUAAGUUAUUUUGGCUUGUAAUACACUUCAAUAGGAGUAGGAUUUAACAAAGUAGGAUAACUUUCAAGGAAAGAAAUUGAACAAGAAUAUGUACAUCCUGGAUUAUUGAGCAGAAAGUUACAGGAGACUGAUGAAGCUACAUUUUGUCUGCAGUUAUAUUUUUCAUACAUCUUCACUGUGAUUACUUGUUUUUCAUUUUAAGUAAAAAAUGAAUCUUUUAUUUUUAUUAUUAUUAUUAUUAUUAUUAUUAUUAUUAUUAUCUUUAUACAAAUUGUUUGUCUUAUUCUUUGUCUGUUUAAAAAAAAUCUUUUAUGUAAACCGCUUUUAGAUUUUGGACUAUUCUGAUGUAGUUAUGAAUAAUCGGUGCAUUCACUUUUUCUCAGAUCAGUUUUAUUGCUCGUCUUUGACUCACACAUGAAGAAACAAGUAUUCAGUUUGUGGGGUCUGAGUGUGAGGGAGUUUCUCUCUCUGUGUGCGAGUUGCCAGAUCUAGAUGUGCUUGUGAGAGUGUACGAAGGCCUGGGUUUCCUAACUAACCUCACUGACUUUUUAACGAGCUAGCAAUCCAACAUACACAACUCCACACGUACUUUUUUUUUUAUUUGUUUACUGUGUUAUAGGGCAGGAUGACCUAACAAAGUGUUCUUUGUUUGGACAGAGCAUGGCAGAUAGAAAAUAAGUCCAGGUUUAAGGUUCACGGAUUGCCAUGCUUCAAUGUGCAAUGUUAUUAUGCCUCGUUUGUUUUAAGAUUAUAGUAGGAGGCAUUGUUGGCAUUAUUAACUGAUCACAGCUGGUCACAUGGUUUGCCACUAGCAACAGACCUGAAAUGACCAAUGUGUAAAACUCUGAUGUAAUCCUUCUCUGUAAUCCUGCUAUAGCAGACCCACUACAACAUAAACAAGCCCACUGUUUUGAAUCAUCGUCAAAAACAGGAUGUCAGUGCUGUAUUGUAUCACUAUGUAACAUAGGAAUAUGAGUCAGUGUUAGUGACAUGACAAGACUUCCAUAAUAGGAUUCCCAUUUUUCACAUGACAAUCCAAAGAUAGUGCAAGCAUUUUUUUUCUACAUUUAAAGCAAGAUCAUAGAAUACAUGUAGCCUGGCCCAGCAAGUCACAUGACUUCUGAAGACACACCUUAAGCAGAUUUAGUGACCUUCAGAGGAGUGUUUAUACAUACUGUACUCAUGCUGUGUGUGUGUGUGUAUGUGUGUGUGUGUGUGUGUGUGUGUGUGUGUGUGUGUAAUCAGGCAACUGCAAGUAUGUACAGGUUUUCAAAGUUGCUAGUCUAUUUUCAAAUGUUUUGUUUGAUUGCAAAAAACCCUAUACUUGUUUACUGGUAUGGGACAUAAAUGGUUACUUUUUAGGACAUAAUUUGUACCUGAAGGAUAUCGCUUUCACUGAAAAUAAUAUGGUUAAUAGUUAUACAGUUCAAGUGCAGCUCAUGGAUCAAGUACUACACUGCACAUUCACACUACAGUCGAAUCUAAUCUGAAAAAAGGUCGAAUCUAAAACCCCAAUCUAGAAGCAUGUGUGUUUGAUCAAAAGUACAGGUGACUGUGAAUGGGGACAUGUGUCAUGUGACUGGUCAGGAGAUGUGGUCUGUGGUCUGGUAACCAGCUGAUUAAAUACUUUUCUACAUCAAAUACUAGUAAAGUAUUUGAAUCUGGGGUGGGCAUGGUGGCUAGUGGUUAGCAUGUUUGCCUUGCACCUCCAGGGUUGGGGGUUUGAUUCCCACCUCUGCUCUGUGUGCUUCAGGGGUUUCCUCCUCCAGUCCAAAGACAGGCAUUUGUAGGCUGAUUGGACAAUCUCGAAAUUGUCAGUAGAGUGUGAAUAGUGCCCUGCGAUGGGUUUGCACCCUGUCUAGGGUGUCCCCAACAUUGUGCCCCAAGUCCCCUGGGAUAGGUUCCAGGCUUUCCGCCAGGCUCCCUAAGUGGUACAGAAAAUAG
Molecule: long non-coding RNA, 3053 nt
Organism: Ictalurus punctatus (channel catfish)
Lineage: Eukaryota; Metazoa; Chordata; Actinopteri; Siluriformes; Ictaluridae
Source: Ensembl